RNAcentral lists this ribosomal RNA (328 nucleotides) under uncultured eukaryote. Its description in RNAcentral is "partial 18S ribosomal RNA". It matches the Rfam family "Eukaryotic small subunit ribosomal RNA", at positions 1470 to 1796 of the family's 1831-position model. The record is from RNAcentral.
CCCUUAGACGUUCUGGGCCGCACGCGCGCUACACUGACGGAGCCAGCGAGUAUAAACCUUGGCCGAGAGGUCUGGGAAAUCUUGUGAAACUCCGUCGUGCUGGGGAUAGAGCAUUGUAAUUAUUGCUCUUCAACGAGGAAUUCCUAGUAAGCGCAAGUCAUCAGCUUGCGUUGAUUACGUCCCUGCCCUUUGUACACACCGCCCGUCGCUACUACCGAUUGAAUGGCUUAGUGAGGCUUCCGGAUUGGUCUAGAGAAGGGGGCAACUCCAUCUUGGAACCGAGAAGCUAGUCAAACUUGGUCAUUUAGAGGAAGUAAAAGUCGUAACA